AUACUUUUCCAUGCAUUUCGUUAUUCAAAAUUGAAAAAGACGCUGAAAGUAUAUUCUAAAUGCAAACAGGGUGAUGUUUAUAUUGUCUUGUCCUUAAAUAGCGCGUGACUGAUCUAUCUAGCGUUUGAAGCAUUACUUUAUUUGUUGUUUUUUUUUUUCAUUUUAAUUGAAGAUUAAAACGAUGCUAGGAAGACUAAUAGCAACACCAC
RNAcentral lists this long non-coding RNA (209 nucleotides) under Mytilus galloprovincialis (Mediterranean mussel). Lineage: Eukaryota; Metazoa; Mollusca; Bivalvia; Mytilida; Mytilidae. The record is from RNAcentral.